ACAGAGACUGUUUGACUUCCUCGCUUCCUAUUUGGAUGCCCUUUAUUUCUUUCUCUUCUUAAUUGCCCUUGCCAGGUCUUCCAGCACUAUGAUGAAUAGGUGUGGUGAGCGGGGGCAUCCUUGUCUUGUGCCAGUUUUGAAGGAGAAUGCUUCCAGCUUUUGCCCAUUCAGUAUGAUGCCAGUUGUGGAUUUGUCUUAUACGGUUCUUACUAUUUUGAGGCAGUGUUGGUCUGCAAGCUUCAAGAGCCAGUGACCCUGACUGCCAAGUGAUUUGCCGAAGGGAAUUAUGGUUUUGCAUUUGAUGGUUUCCAGGAACUGCUAAGAGUGAGAUCAUCCCUGAAGCAGUGACUGCCAGAGGAAGGCGAGAGACAUAUGGUGGCCUUACAGGAGAAGAACAUGUCUCAGAGAGCUCCUACUCCUCCAGUUUUGGCCCCAGAAUGAAACACAGGAAGAAGACCUGAAUUUGAUUUGCAUUUCAAAGUAGAACUGUCCCAGCUGACAUGAAGACUGAUGAAUAAGGAAUAAGUAUUUAUUGUUGUAUGUCACUGAUAUUUCUGUGGUCGAUUAUGUGUAGAAGAGCUGACUUGUACACUUACAUAAACUUGAAGAAGACUGAAUUUAGAAAUGGAGUUUCUGCAUAUGGUUAUGUCUGAGUAGCUCCAAGUGGAUCAUCCCUCCCACAGAUAACAACUCUAAACUCUGGACAAAAUAUAAAAAUAACAAUUUCCUGAAUAUCAAAGAGCAACCCAAAUCAUGCAGAUACUGGGUAUUAAGGCUGAAUUUGUCUACACAUCAAACAUGUACCUAGGAGGAAUAUUUGCUCUGUGCCAUCAGCAGUGUAGAAACUAGAAUAACCAGCUGCCGUAUUGUGAGCUGCAUUAUGAAGAGAACCAUGUGGCAAGACACUGAGGGAGAUCUCCAGCCAACAACAACUCAUAAGCAACUAAAUCUUGUGAUGAACCACUGGAGUCAUCUGGAAAGAGGAUCCUCUCACCUUCAAUCUUUGAAAUGGCUAGAGCUCUGAUGACAGUUGGAUUACAGCCUUAGGAGAAACAGAGAGCCGGGGAAAUUUGUGCCCAGGUUCCUUUCCCACAGACAUUGUCAGAUAAUAAAUAUCUCUGCGUUUUUAAGCUUC
Molecule: long non-coding RNA, 1135 nt
Filed under: Homo sapiens (human)
Lineage: Eukaryota; Metazoa; Chordata; Mammalia; Primates; Hominidae
Description: HSALNT0323165
Source: RNAcentral